This 468-nucleotide ribosomal RNA is filed under the name uncultured bacterium. RNAcentral's name for it is "partial 16S ribosomal RNA". It matches the Rfam family "Bacterial small subunit ribosomal RNA", at positions 28 to 507 of the family's 1533-position model. The record is from RNAcentral.
AACGAACGCUGGCGGCGUGCUUAACACAUGCAAGUCGAACGGAAAGGCCCGGCUUGUGUGGGGGGCUCGAGUGGCGAACGGGUGAGUAACACGUGAGUAACCUGCCCUUGACUUUGGGAUAACUUCAGGAAACUGGGGCUACUACCGGCUAGGAGCUCCUGCUGCCUGGUGGGGGUUGGAACGUUUCGGUGGGUGGGGGUGGACUCGCGGCUUAUCAGCUGGUUGGUGGGGUAGUGGCUUACCGAGGCUUUGGCAGGUAGCCGGCCUGAGAGGGUGACCGGCCCCCAUGGGACUGAGAUAGGGCGCAGACGCCUACGGGAGGCAGCAGUGGGGAAUAUGGUCCAACGGGGGGAAGCGUGAUGCAGCAACGCCGCGUGCGUGAUGACGGCCUUCGGGUGGUGAACCGCUUUCGCCUGUGACGAAGCGUGAGUGACGGUAAUGGGUAAAGAAGCACCGGCUAACUACGUG